AUUGAACGCUGGCGGCAGGCCUAACACAUGCAAGUCGAACGGUAACAGGAAACAGCUUGCUGUUUCGCUGACGAGUGGCGGACGGGUGAGUAAUGUCUGGGAAACUGCCUGAUGGAGGGGGAUAACUACUGGAAACGGUAGCUACUACCGCAUAACGUCGCAAGACCAAAGAGGGGGACCCUCGGGCCUCUUGCCAUCGGAUGUGCCCAGGUGGGAUUAGCUUGUUGGUGGGGUAACGGCUCACCAAGGCGACGAUCCCUAGCUGGUCUGAGAGGAUGACCAGCCACACUGGAACUGAGACACGGUCCAGACUCCUACGGGAGGCAGCAGUGGGGAAUAUUGCACAAUGGGCGCAAGCCUGAUGCAGCCAUGCCGCGUGUAUGAAGAAGGCCUUCGGGUUGUAAAGUACUUUCAGCGGGGAGGAAGGGAGUAAAGUUAAUACCUUUGCUCAUUGACGUUACCCGCAGAAGAAGCACCGGCUAACUCCGUG
RNAcentral lists this ribosomal RNA (490 nucleotides) under uncultured bacterium. RNAcentral describes it as "partial 16S ribosomal RNA". It matches the Rfam family "Bacterial small subunit ribosomal RNA", at positions 30 to 507 of the family's 1533-position model. The record is from RNAcentral.